This 702-nucleotide long non-coding RNA is filed under the name Fragaria vesca (wild strawberry). RNAcentral describes it as "long non-coding RNA (FVES_LNC002187)". The record is from RNAcentral. Lineage: Eukaryota; Viridiplantae; Streptophyta; Magnoliopsida; Rosales; Rosaceae.
UUGGCAAUUCAGGUGCUUUCGGCUUCUUUGAGCUCACUAGCACUGCUGUUGCUCCAGAUUCCGCAGCUGGUGGUUUCUUGGGAGGCGGGUUUUUCUCGAUGAACUUUCUCAACCCAGUUUCACCACCAGGAAAUCCCCCGGUAAGCCCCAUCAACUCCUUUUCAAAAGCAGCUUCUUGAGCACUGUCAAUUGCAGCAAUUGCCGAGCCUUCUGAUUGUUCUUCCCCCUCUGCUUUCUCUGUCUCAUCACCAACAGCUGCUGGUGCUUGUUCUUCGACAUUUCUUGUAAGCUCUUUCUCGACGCCUCGCUCUCCAUUUAGGAGCCCUCUGCCUCCCAAGAUUUCGAACAGAUUAAACUUGGCAUAUGUUCUUAGGUGGUGGGGGGAUGGCCUUCUUUGAACUGUGAAACAAGGCUUGGGGGCUAGAUUAGAGUGGUCAUUUCUUCCCAGGAAAUUGGAUUUGAGAAGAGGGUUUUGAAAGCUAGGGAGGCUGAUGUUGGAAGCCAUUGUUUGGUUGACAAUUGCAGGCUCUGAGAGACGGAAAGAAGUUGUGGCCACAAAGAGCUUUUGUUGAACAGUGUCCCAUGAUCCUAUCGUCUCAACAUAUAUUGAUGUAUCCAUGUUUGUCCUCUCUAUCAUCAAUACAUGUUGGGUAACCCUUUGAUAUACCCAGGUCCAAUCCAAGCCAGUCCAUUUAUAAGUGG